UUGAUUACCACUUGCACAGAUGUCCGGCCUCCGGGGUCGCGACAGCUGGGCGCCAGGUGUGGCUCCGCACCUGUCCAACUAAACCGGGCUACCAUUUUUAACACUGUUGCAUGGGUUGGCUGUCAAGUAGCGCAAGCUACGCGGCGUCAACAAAUUUAACACACACUAAUGAUAUUUAGGAUUUGAAUGUCAACUGAUGAACGGCUGGUAAUAGCGGUCGUAAAAUCAAAAAA
RNAcentral lists this unclassified non-coding RNA (233 nucleotides) under soil metagenome. RNAcentral's name for it is "partial internal transcribed spacer 1". The record is from RNAcentral.